This is a long non-coding RNA of Humulus lupulus (European hop), 1015 nucleotides long. RefSeq lists it as uncharacterized. The transcript has 4 exons. The record is from RefSeq and is a predicted model, not a curated record. Lineage: Eukaryota; Viridiplantae; Streptophyta; Magnoliopsida; Rosales; Cannabaceae.
UAAUUUGUUGGUUUUGCUUAAAUAUUAUUUCUUUGGUUUGUGCUAUUGCUUUUGUUUUUAAUAAUUUCUUUUGCUGCAGUUGAUGAAGGUAAGCCCUUUCCCCUUUAGUUUAGGUUUAUUCUUGUUAAUAUUUGUACUGGUGUGCGAUUUUUCUCCAACUGUUUUGUACACUAAAAAAUUAAAUUGAACAGAAUGGUUUAGACUUUAAUAACUUUCUGGGUUGGUUUAUGAGUUCUAGUAGAUCUGUUUUUUUUUUUUUUUGGCAAAAUCAAUAGACCUCGUGCUUUCAACAUUCCAUUUGGACUUUUGAUACAUCUGGAAACUACUUUUGAUACAUUUGUUGUGUUGUUGUUGGUCUUUACUAUUAUUUUUUUCAGUUUGCUAGCUACUUUCCCAACUUCUGGCCUUUGUGUUUUAAACUUUAGCUGUUAUUUAACUUUUGUGAGUUGUAGUUUCUAAGAACAUAAUUUCAUAUAAAGAUAAACUAGGAUAGUUGGAACCUUGGCUAUUGUGUUACAGCACCUUAAAUUUGAAUUCAUAUUUGCAUUGAUUGUGAUAUUGGACACUAAACUUCCUAAACUUAUGAACCUUUAUGAAUUGGAGUAAGGACGGCUUUAUCCUUUUAUGAGUCACUUUUGUUAAGUUCACCUGAUCUUGGUUAUGCUAUCUAUCAAAGCUAGAAUAAUUAAUUCACAGUUUGAUGUUGGGACAGCCUAACACUCUGUUUUUUAAUUUUAUUUUUAAUCUUUAUUGCAGGUAUAUAUCAUAGACUAUGAUCUUGCGAAAAAGUAUAGGGAUCUUCAGACGCACAAGCACAUUCCAUACAUGGAAAACAAGAAUCUCACAGGAACAGCUUGUUAUGCAAGUGUUAACACUCUCCUUGGAGUUGAGCAAAGCAGAAGAGAUGAUUUGGAGUCUCUUGGUUAUGUGCUUAUGUAUUUUUUGAGGGGAAGUCUUCCCUGGCAGGGAUUAAAAGCAGGUACGAAAAAACAAAAUACGACAAGAUCAGUGAAAA